GGGGGCGUAAAGGUUUCGACAGGGACUUUGAACCGCCGGAAGCGAGCAGAGGUGCAGAGCCGCUUAAAAUCUGCAAUUAAAAAUUAACUGACAACAAUUCAGUUGCUCUUGCGGCUUAAUUAAGCCGCCGUCUGCAUUGAAAGGACCGCGGUUCUAUGCAGGCGUCAAACAGCGGUAAAUGUGAACGGCAUAUUGCCUUAUGUGCCGUCAUAACUUAAAGGCUACCGAAAAUACCGCUUUGAUAUUUGAGUGAUAUUUUCGGGAAAUCAAUCAAAUAUCUGCGCUCGGAGAUGCCGACGGGAAUUGGUUUUUGGACGGGGGUUCGAUUCCCCCCGCCUCCACCA
This 344-nucleotide transfer-messenger RNA is filed under the name Acutalibacteraceae. Its description in RNAcentral is "UBA737 sp902802375 Standard tmRNA". It matches the Rfam family "transfer-messenger RNA". Rfam says of the family: Bacterial tmRNA, also known as 10Sa RNA or SsrA, is named for its dual tRNA and mRNA-like properties. Its role is to liberate the mRNA from a stalled ribosome. Lineage: Bacteria; Bacillati; Bacillota; Clostridia; Eubacteriales. The record is from RNAcentral. RNAcentral also lists the same sequence under 1 other name.